This 24-nucleotide non-coding RNA is filed under the name Arabidopsis thaliana (thale cress). Lineage: Eukaryota; Viridiplantae; Streptophyta; Magnoliopsida; Brassicales; Brassicaceae. The record is from RNAcentral.
AGUGACAGACCAACAUAACACCUA